This 436-nucleotide ribosomal RNA is filed under the name uncultured Anaerovorax sp. Its description in RNAcentral is "partial 16S ribosomal RNA". It matches the Rfam family "Bacterial small subunit ribosomal RNA", at positions 341 to 792 of the family's 1533-position model. Lineage: Bacteria; Bacillati; Bacillota; Clostridia; Peptostreptococcales; Anaerovoracaceae. The record is from RNAcentral.
ACGGAAGGCAGCAGUGGGGAAUAUUGCACAAUGGCGGAAACUCUGAUGCAGCAACGCCGCGUGCGCGAUGAAGGUCUUCGGAUCGUAAAGCUCUGUCCUUAGGGACGAAGAAAGUGACGGUACCUAAGGAGGAAGCCCCGGCUACCUACGUGCCAGCAGCCGCGGUAAUACGUCGGGGGCGAGCGUUAUCCGGAAUUAUUGGGCGUAAAGAGUACGUAGGUGGUUUUGUAAGCGUAAGGGGAAGGCCCGGGGCUUAACUCCGGUUAGCCUUACGAACUGCAAGACUUGAGUGCAGGAGGGGAAAGUGGAAUUCCUAGUGUAGCGGUGAAAUGCGUAGAUAUUAGGAGGAACACCAGUGGCGAAGGCGACUUUCUGGACUGUAACUGACACUGAGGUACGAAAGCGUGGGGAGCAAACAGGAUUAGAUACCCUGGUA